This 238-nucleotide ribosomal RNA is filed under the name uncultured bacterium. RNAcentral describes it as "partial 16S ribosomal RNA". It matches the Rfam family "Bacterial small subunit ribosomal RNA", at positions 539 to 776 of the family's 1533-position model. The record is from RNAcentral.
CGUUGCUCGGAUUCAUUGGGCGUAAAGGGUGCGUAGGUGGCGCCGUAAGUCGGGUGUGAAAUUUCGGAGCUUAACUCCGAAACUGCAUUCGAUACUGCGGUGCUUGAGGACUGGAGAGGAGACUGGAAUUCAUGGUGUAGCAGUGAAAUGCGUAGAGAUCAUGAGGAAGACCAGUGGCGAAGGCGGGUCUCUGGACAGUUCCUGACACUGAGGCACGAAGGCCAGGGGAGCAAACGGG